Planococcus citri (citrus mealybug) is the source of this 2848-nucleotide RNA transcript. RefSeq lists it as uncharacterized. The record is from RefSeq and is a predicted model, not a curated record. Lineage: Eukaryota; Metazoa; Arthropoda; Insecta; Hemiptera; Pseudococcidae. The transcript has 5 exons.
ACACGAGCUAAUUUCACCGAAGUAAAUAACAAAAUGUAAAUACGUAUUCAUAUACAAUUAUACAUUCACGAAGUGAUCAAUUGGUCUGAAACUCAUUUCAGCUGAAUUAAUAAUUUCAAUAUUGUAAUAUCGUUUCGAGUGUCGUUUAUUUUGAAAAUUACGAAUAAAUAACAAAAUGAAAGCUGCCAUUGUAUUCCUGAUCGUAUCAGCAGUCUGCGUUUGCAUGGUAUUAGCCCAACAAAUGAAUAUUGACGAGUCGAAGUCAAAUGAUCACGAUGCGUAUCUAUCCGAUAGCUGUUAAUCCGAAGCAUGCUCAGAAAUAAAGUGACGUAGAAUGAAUUUUUUAAAUUUAAUGUUAACCUAACCUUAAGUCUUGUACAACGUUAUUAUAUGUAAUAAAUCCAAGAAUACAUCUUUGAAAAUGUAUUGCCUGAGUGUUAUUAUGUUUACAUAAAACUCGACGAAAACUAGCUUCUGAAAGCGUAGCAAAGAUCAAAUUUUCAUUUGGAGGGUCCAAAAUUUGGAGAAGAGGGUUUUAAAAUCAACACACAUUUUUUGGGGGGGAAAGUGUUUUUUUGUUCUAAAUCUUCUAAAACGAACCGAUUUGGUCCAAUGGAGAGGGUAGAUAUGUCCCAAGAACCAGACUUGUGGAAUUCUUGUACCCCUAUACCCAAAUGUUUUGAUAAAACUUGAGUUCGGAGCUCUGAAUUUGCGAAAGAGGGUAUCCAUUAUCCAACAUUGGAACCGAUUUGGUACCAUUAGAGGAGAGGAGGGGGGGUAUAUGCCUCAAAAACCAAAUUCUUGGAAUUUUUGAACCUUCUUCUAAAGAAUUUUUGGAAUCCAAAUCAGUACGAGUAAGAUUCAAUAAUAUGUAUUGUAUUUGAUUAAAAAAAAAUUAUUCUGAUUAUUGAUAACGACUCUCUUGCGAUAUAUCGGAAUUUUUCAUCAGCAAUUAACGAUAAUACUCGUAUAUUGAUAAAAAAAAGUGAUUAUAACUAUAACCUAAUUUCACAGAUAUCAUUACCGAAUUGGUCUUAGGUUCAUUUUAGCUAAAUUAAUGUGAAAAUCUCGUUCUGACAGUUAUUUUUUUUUUUAGACAAUGAAAAACAAAAUGAGAGAAAUUAUUGUAUUCCUGAUUGUAUUAGCAGUAGCAGUCUGCGUUCCCAUACUAUCAGACUUUUCAGAACGUGACGAUUCUGUAUUCUCAGAUCCAUUGGAAUCGUUAGGUGGUCAAUUCGACUUCAAGAAAUCUAACGAAUACGACUGAAGCUGAUUCGAUUCCACACAAUUAGAUCGACCACGAUUGGAUUCCCUCAUUUCACGUGUACAGAUGUUUGAAGAUCACCAUUUUAUUGCUCAAGUGUUGAUGUUUGUUUUUUAUAAUGGCAUUUUAAAAUAGAUUUUUACUCGAAUUUAUUAAGUUGAUACCAAUAUUGUGUUUUUGAAAAAUUUGUGUACCUACGUUCUUUUUGGAGACCAAUUCCCCCCCUCCAUCAAAAGCCCAUAUCAUUUUCGUACAAACACAAAUCUAGCAUUUCUGAUGGUGUUAUCAGUCUGCGUUUCCAUGGUUUCGUCGGCUCCACAACGUUUUGAUUGGUCGGGUACUGACCAAUCACAUUCCGAACAGUCAGGUUCCGAACACUCGGAUUCUCAGAUAUCGAAUUCCGAACAAUCAGAUAAUGAACAGUUAGAUUCUGAGCAGCAGACCGAUUCCGAGCAAUCCAAUUCCUAUCGGAAGUAAUUCGAUCCCUCGCAAUCAAAUCCAGUACGAUCCAGAUCCUCAUCUGUCAGAAAUCCUACCAUCAUAAUCGAGAAAAAAAUUGAGAAUCAGGUUGGAGAAAGGUUCAUCUGACAUUACGUACGAUUCAGGCCUCGUAUCUCAUCGUAAGUGAGCUCCAAAGGCUCAAGACCCAGGUGCUGAAGAUGAAUUUGUAAAACUUUAAUUUUCUACGUUUAUAAGAAUCCUAAGUACCUACUUUAAAAAUACAUUGUUUAAGAGUUUAUGAUUAUUAGAGUGAAUCGGGAAGCAAAAAAUUGAAAAACUUUGGUCAACUUUUACAUACGAGUAGAUUUGCAUUUCAAGUUGAAAAAAAAAACAUUUUAAUUCCGGAGAGAGGCGUUCUUGGAGGGAAGAUAUGGGCAAUCAAAGAGGCACAUUUUUUAAAAAAAAUGUUCAUUUUUUGGCUCCAACUUUUACUCAAUCUGUUUCAGGAAAAAUGAUCCAAAUCCAAAAUAUAGUCUGGGUAGUUCCAAGUCAAAUCAGUCUUCUUUUGGGCCCAGAUCACUCGAUUUGGCUCGUUUUUUUGCAGGUUUCUCACAUUAGGGAAGAAAGAAAUCGCCAUCAUUGGGGGUUCUGAAAUAUGCCCCAAAACUUUCAAAAGUUCAAAGUUGAGUUUUUUUGAUUUUUUCAAUUCGACCCCCUCUGUUGUCUCCUAUACUUACUAUAGCCUCCUUCCUCCCGAUUUCCUGAGAGUUAGAAAAACAAUGUGAUACAUAUUACAUAUCAGAUUCAUUAGGGUUUUGAGAGCAGAGAAUUUAAAAUUGUGCAAUAUUUGAAAAAAAUCUCUAUCUCUGAUAUGUAUGUAGGUUCUUUAAAAAAAAUUCUUGGAUAGCAAAUCCUAUUUCGUAAUUUUUUAUCGACAUUUAUUACGAUAUAUAUUUACCAAAAACGAUCACGAGCACGAGCUAAUUUUAUGGAUAUCAAUUGCAAAAUAUCAGGGUCCGGACGCGUUCACUGAUGUUCAAUUUGUCUAUAGAAAAUUCCAGCUAAAUUAAUGUAUUGUUUUGGGAGUCAGUUAUUUCAAAAACAAUAAAGAAAAUGAGAGCAGUCUUCGCAUUCCUGAUGGUA